CCCUUAGACGUUCUGGGCCGCACGCGCGCUACACUGGCCGGUGCAACAAGCAUCCGUCCUUGGCCGACAGGCCCGGGCAAUCUUUGAACGCCGGUCGUGAUGGGGAUAGACUUUUGCAAUUUUUGGUCUUCAACGAGGAAUUCCUAGUAAACGCAAGUCAUCAACUUGCAUUGAUUACGUCCCUGCCCUUUGUACACACCGCCCGUCGCACCUACCGAUUGAAUGGUCCGGUGAAGCCUCCGGAUUGGCGCGCACCUCGGUGCCGCCGAGAAGUUGGCUAAACCUUACCAUUUAGAGGAAGGAGAAGUCGUAACA
Molecule: ribosomal RNA, 315 nt
Filed under: uncultured eukaryote
Lineage: Eukaryota
Description: partial 18S ribosomal RNA
Rfam family: Eukaryotic small subunit ribosomal RNA
Source: RNAcentral